Abrus precatorius (Indian licorice) is the source of this 151-nucleotide long non-coding RNA. RefSeq lists it as uncharacterized. NCBI's taxonomy places the organism in Eukaryota, Viridiplantae, Streptophyta, Magnoliopsida, Fabales, Fabaceae. The transcript has 3 exons. The record is from RefSeq and is a predicted model, not a curated record.
AGUCAGACAAAAGAUGGAAACUAUUAGAUAAGAAUUACCAAACUGGCUAUUUUGAUAGCUAAAAAGUUUGUGUAAGAUAUUUAAAGCUAAAAUAAUGAUGGCAUGACCUGAUCGGGUUAUAUAUAUAUAUUGUUUAUUUUACAUCCCAAUU